Molecule: long non-coding RNA, 1048 nt
Organism: Theobroma cacao (cacao)
Lineage: Eukaryota; Viridiplantae; Streptophyta; Magnoliopsida; Malvales; Malvaceae
Source: RefSeq, a predicted model, not a curated record
AUCUCUCACUUUUUCCCUUACAAAAGGGACUUCACCUUUCCCUGUGCUUAUUAUUCUCAUUAGCUGUCUUUCUCUAGAAAAUAUGGAGGAAAAAGAGAAGCUUUCAGAGAAGGAGAAAGCAAAGCACAGGCUUCCACAUCCACAGGGUCACCUACUGAUGCAUGGGAGUAUGAUCAAGGGCAAGCGAGUACUGUCAAGGAAUAAAAUUAUUGAUGAAUUAUUUCAAUUUGGUGCCUGUAACUCCUGUGUGACAGUGGCUUGUUCAUCUUAAUUGGGUGCUAUCCUACCUGAGCUUUUUUUUCACUCUUUUUUUUUUUUUUUCUGCCCUUCAUUCUUACUUCUUUCGAUUUCUUUUUCUUCUUCUUUUCUUAUCUUCUUGACCUUGUAAGACCUUUUCUUGACCUUGUAAGACCCCGUUCGGUGUUCCUUAUCUUUGUUUUUCUCUCCGCUUCAGACUCUAUAUCAGAACUUUCUGAUAUAGAGUUUGCGUAUUCUUCUACCCCAUUCCCGCCCAACUCUUCUUCUCCUUCCUUGUCUAUCCCUCCUGAGCUGUUUGAAUUAGCCUAGCCUAGCUAUAGCUAGCUAGCAUCUCUCCUCAAAAUUGUUCUGAUCACAUGCCAGAAACGACCACCUGAUCAACUCCCAUUCUGGGGUUCUGCCCCCUUUUUUAUUCCCCUUCCUUAACAUGUAAACAUUUAGGAAGAACUGCAGUGGUGAAAUCUAUGUUUGAGGUUGAGUUUGUAACAGUGGUUGAAGCAGUAUCAAAAAAUAAAAUAAAAUUACAUAGCUAUGUACUGCUCAGAGUUGUUUUUUUGUACUUUUAUCAACAGUAAAAGCUUUCACUUUCUUAUUCUGUUAAGGCCAUCAAUGUCAAUUGUUAUUAUAUGUGCAGAAAUAUGCUUUGCAGGCAUCAGUUUUCGUUGUUUUAUAUGUUGUUGGGCUGAGUAGCAAGAGAAUAAGUAUUCUCUCAGAUCUGCUUGUGUGGAAGAGUUCUCCUCGUGACUGCUCUUAUGUACAAUAACAUAUCCACUGUAUUAUUGGAGUUCUC